GACGAACGCUGGCGGCGUGCUUAACACAUGCAAGUCGAACGGAAAGGCCCUGCUUUUGUGGGGUGCUCGAGUGGCGAACGGGUGAGUAACACGUGAGUAACCUGCCCUUGACUUUGGGAUAACUUCAGGAAACUGGGGCUAAUACCGGAUAGGAGCUCCUGCUGCAUGGUGGGGGUUGGAAAGUUUCGGCGGUUGGGGAUGGACUCGCGGCUUAUCAGCUUGUUGGUGGGGUAGUGGCUUACCAAGGCUUUGACGGGUAGCCGGCCUGAGAGGGUGACCGGCCACAUUGGGACUGAGAUACGGCCCGGACUCCUACGGGAGGCAGCAGUGGGGAAUAUUGCACAAUGGGCGGAAGCCUGAUGCAGCAACGCCGCGUGCGGGAUGACGGCCUUCGGGUUGUAAACCGCUUUCGCCUGUGACGAAGCGUGAGUGACGGUAAUGGGUAAAGAAGCACCGGCUAACUACGUGCCAGCAGCCGCGGUGAUACGUAGGGUGCGAGCGUUGUCCGGAUUUAUUGGGCGUAAAGGGCUCGUAGGUGGUUGAUCGCGUCGGAAGUGUAAUCUUGGGGCUUAACCCUGAGCGUGCUUUCGAUACGGGUUGACUUGAGGAAGGUAGGGGAGAAUGGAAUUCCUGGUGGAGCGGUGGAAUGCGCAGAUAUCAGGAGGAACACCAGUGGCGAAGGCGGUUCUCUGGGCCUUUCCUGACGCUGAGGAGCGAAAGCGUGGGGAGCGAACAGGCUUAGAUACCCUGGUAGUCCACGCUGUAAACGGUGGGUACUGGGUGUGGGGUCCAUUCCACGGGUUCCGUGCCGUAGCUAACGCUUUAAGUACCCCGCCUGGGGAGUACGGCCGCAAGGCUAAAACUCAAAGGAAUUGACGGGGCCCCGCACAAGCGGCGGAGCAUGCGGAUUAAUUCGAUGCAACGCGUAGAACCUUACCUGGGUUUGACAUGGAUCGGGAGCGCUCAGAGAUGGGUGUGCCUCUUUUGGGGUCGGUUCACAGGUGGUGCAUGGCUGUCGUCAGCUCGUGUCGUGAGAUGUUGGGUUAAGUCCCGCAACGAGCGCAACCCUUGUUCACUGUUGCCAGCACGUUAUGGUGGGGACUCAGUGGAGACCGCCGGGGUCAACUCGGAGGAAGGUGGGGAUGACGUCAAGUCAUCAUGCCCCUUAUGUCCAGGGCUUCACGCAUGCUACAAUGGCUGGUACAGAGAGUGGCGAGCCUGUGAGGGUGAGCGAAUCUCGGAAAGCCGGUCUCAGUUCGGAUUGGGGUCUGCAACUCGACCUCAUGAAGUCGGAGUCGCUAGUAAUCGCAGAUCAGCAACGCUGCGGUGAAUACGUUCCCGGG
This 1343-nucleotide ribosomal RNA is filed under the name uncultured bacterium. RNAcentral's name for it is "16S ribosomal RNA". It matches the Rfam family "Bacterial small subunit ribosomal RNA", at positions 28 to 1378 of the family's 1533-position model. The record is from RNAcentral.